Long non-coding RNA from Leptopilina boulardi, 735 nucleotides. RefSeq lists it as uncharacterized. The record is from RefSeq and is a predicted model, not a curated record. The transcript has 3 exons. NCBI's taxonomy places the organism in Eukaryota, Metazoa, Arthropoda, Insecta, Hymenoptera, Figitidae.
GCGACAUUUUUAUUGUUGAAGUCAACGACAAGUUUCUUUGUUUUGUGUUUUAUUUGUUGUAUUUCACGUAUUGUUUUACGUAUGUUAUAUUUAAUUAUUCACAUAACACCUACAGCAAAUUCGACAAGAAGUAUUUAUAUAAAGAUAAAUAUUCGACAAAAUCUGAAAGAUACCCUUAGGAAAUUGAAACUGAAAAAAUAUCGAAAGCAGGUUGUUGAGAGAAAGGCGAGGGAUUCCCAAGUGCUUCAAAUGCUCUGCGCACAGUCGAAAAAUCUCGAAAAGGAGUUGUCCUCCGGAACAUUGUGCCAACAUGAGGAAAAUCGAUGAAUCAUCAAAUAAAUGAAAACCAUAUCAAGGAAAAAGAAAUCAAAUAAUUUUAUAGAAGUCAUUUUUAAUAGCAACAAUAUAUUAAUUAUAUUUUUGAUCAAAAUUGGUGAUACUGGAUUUUGAAGUACAACAUUUGUAAAUCAAAAACAAAUUAAUGUAACAAAAUACAUAUACAUCAGAAGAAUAUAUACACAGUCUAUUGAACGCACAAUAUCGAAGAAGGAAAUACCAAAAGGUCAAUUUAUACGAUAUGAAAGAUCGAAAGGUGAUCUAUUGAAUGUUAAAGUCUGACAAUUAUUUAACUACAAAAAUAGUCAAAAGAAGUCCUUAAAAUUUUCUUGGUAAGUCAAACUAUUAUAUAAUAAUAGUUAUAUAUUGGUAUAAAAAUCAUUAACUUUUUUUUUUCUU